Molecule: non-coding RNA, 85 nt
Organism: Eucalyptus grandis
Lineage: Eukaryota; Viridiplantae; Streptophyta; Magnoliopsida; Myrtales; Myrtaceae
Source: Rfam
GAAAGCCAUGUGCAAUGAAAAAUGCAAGCAUGGUUUUGGGAGGGAUUUUUGUUACGUAUUUUAACAAAGAAAUUAUCUAUUCCAU